Molecule: non-coding RNA, 24 nt
Filed under: Arabidopsis thaliana (thale cress)
Lineage: Eukaryota; Viridiplantae; Streptophyta; Magnoliopsida; Brassicales; Brassicaceae
Source: RNAcentral
CUAAAGGGAUUACGGGUUUCGGCC